UACGUAGGUGGCGAGCGUUGUCCGGAUUUACUGGGCGUAAAGGGAGCGUAGGCGGACUUUUAAGUGAGAUGUGAAAUACCCGGGCUCAACUUGGGUGCUACAUUUCAAACUGGAAGUCUAGAGUGCAGGAGAGGAGAAUGGAAUUCCUAGUGUAGCGGUGAAACGCGUAGAGAUUAGGAAGAACACCAGUGGCGAAGGCGAUUCUCUGGACUGUAACUGACGCUGAGGCUCGAAAGCGUGGGGAGCAAACAGGAUUAGAUACCCCUGUAGU
Molecule: ribosomal RNA, 271 nt
Filed under: uncultured prokaryote
Description: partial 16S ribosomal RNA
Rfam family: Bacterial small subunit ribosomal RNA
Source: RNAcentral